RNAcentral lists this ribosomal RNA (263 nucleotides) under Escherichia coli. RNAcentral's name for it is "partial 16S ribosomal RNA". It matches the Rfam family "Bacterial small subunit ribosomal RNA", at positions 1 to 260 of the family's 1533-position model. Lineage: Bacteria; Pseudomonadati; Pseudomonadota; Gammaproteobacteria; Enterobacterales; Enterobacteriaceae. The record is from RNAcentral. RNAcentral also lists the same sequence under 4 other names.
AAAUUGAAGAGUUUGAUCAUGGCUCAGAUUGAACGCUGGCGGCAGGCCUAACACAUGCAAGUCGAACGGUAACAGGAAACAGCUUGCUGUUUCGCUGACGAGUGGCGGACGGGUGAGUAAUAUCUGGGAAACUGCCUGAUGGAGGGGGAUAACUACUGGAAACGGUAGCUAAUACCGCAUAACGUCGCAAGACCAAAGAGGGGGACCUUAGGGCCUCUUGCCAUCGGAUGUGCCCAGAUGGGAUUAGCUAGUAGGUGGGGUAA